This 34-nucleotide small RNA is filed under the name Arabidopsis thaliana (thale cress). RNAcentral's name for it is "ATSL010710". Lineage: Eukaryota; Viridiplantae; Streptophyta; Magnoliopsida; Brassicales; Brassicaceae. The record is from RNAcentral.
AAAAUUGAAAAAAAAAAUAAAAAAAAUGAAAAAA